This 670-nucleotide unclassified non-coding RNA is filed under the name Hevea brasiliensis (rubber tree). Lineage: Eukaryota; Viridiplantae; Streptophyta; Magnoliopsida; Malpighiales; Euphorbiaceae. The record is from RNAcentral.
GUAUUACAUAAGAUACUGCACUGGGAGACAGCAGAAAGUGAAGUAGAUGGAUUAAAAUUGAGGCUAUCACAGCUGUAUUAUGAUCAUCUACUUAGACUCAGAGAAUCCAUUGAGGGGCUGAAAGAGUGGCUGGAUGCGGUUGCAAGAGCAGGCAUUCCUUGUGCUGUUGUUUCAAGUCUAGAUCGGGUAAACAUGGUGGGUGCCUUGGAGCGGAUGGGGCUGAAGAAGUAUUUUCAGGCGAUAGUGACUGAGGAAGAUGGUAUGGAGUCUAUAGCUCAUAGAUUUCUUUCUGCUGCAAUAAAGCUGGAUCGGAAACCAUCGAAAUGUGUGGUGUUUGAGGAUGAUCCCAGAGGAAUAACUGCUGCUCACAACUGUACUAUGAUGGCCGUGGCAUUGAUUGGUGCUCAUCCUGCGUAUGAGCUGGUGCAGGCUGAUCUUGCAGUUGCUAGCUUCAAUGAACUUUCGGUGAUCAAUCUUCGGAGAUUAUUUGCUAACAAGGGUUCUGGAUUUAUGGACAGGCAAAAGCAGAUUAUAGAGAAAUCUCCUUCAAAAAGAAAGCUAACCAUUGACACCAUUUUCUGAUUAGUUUUCACCUUGCCUCUUUUGUUCUUAAUUUCUCUCCUCUCCUCUUGACCUGGUAGAUUUUUUUUUUUUUUUUUUUAAUUUAUUU